GAUGAACGCUGGCGGCGUGCCUAAUACAUGCAAGUCGAGCGAACAGACGAGGAGCUUGCUCCUCUGACGUUAGCGGCGGACGGGUGAUUAACACGUGGAUAACCUACCUAUAAGACUGGGAUAACUUCGGGAAACCGGAUCUAAUACCGGAUAAUAUAUUGAACCGCAUGGUUCAAUAGUGAAAGACGGUUUUGCUGUCACUUAUAGAUGGAUCCGCGCCGCAUUAGCUAGUUGGUAAGGUAACGGCUUACCAAGGCAACGAUGCGUAGCCGACCUGAGAGGGUGAUCGGCCACACUGGAACUGAGACACGGUCCAGACUCCUACGGGAGGCAGCAGUAGGGAAUCUUCCGCAAUGGGCGAAAGCUUGACGGAGCAACGCCGCGUGAGUGAUGAAGGUCUUCGGAUCGUAAAACUCUGUUAUUAGGGAAGAACAAAUGUGUAAGUAACUAUGGACGGCAUGACGGUACCGAAUGAGAAAGCAACGGCUAACUACGUG
This 497-nucleotide ribosomal RNA is filed under the name uncultured bacterium. RNAcentral's name for it is "partial 16S ribosomal RNA". It matches the Rfam family "Bacterial small subunit ribosomal RNA", at positions 28 to 507 of the family's 1533-position model. The record is from RNAcentral.